GCUGAUGCAUAGAAGCAUAUUAAUGAUAAGUCAAAAGCCGAUGCAUGGGUCGGCGGGUCAAUCGGGACCCAAGAGUGCUAGUGUCCUCAGUUCGGACCAAAGAUAUUUUCUAUCAACAACAUACGCCCCCUACUCAUAAGUUCGAGUUAGAGUAGGAUCGGACGAAGGGAGUAUAGUUAGAUCAGGUUCACCGAAGACACGUGCCAUGCCUCCAUUAUUCAAAUAAAAAGAUGCUUCUGCAGCCUUUGGAUAGAUUGAACCAUCAUGUCAG
RNAcentral lists this long non-coding RNA (271 nucleotides) under Elaeis guineensis (African oil palm). RNAcentral's name for it is "long non-coding RNA (EGUI_LNC021816)". Lineage: Eukaryota; Viridiplantae; Streptophyta; Magnoliopsida; Arecales; Arecaceae. The record is from RNAcentral.